RNAcentral lists this long non-coding RNA (3757 nucleotides) under Homo sapiens (human). RNAcentral describes it as "HSALNT0297585". The record is from RNAcentral. Lineage: Eukaryota; Metazoa; Chordata; Mammalia; Primates; Hominidae.
UGUGAGCCGCUGUGCCCAGGCCAAUCCCAGAGAUUUUGAAGAUGAUUUCUCGAUACGAGUUUCACGAAGACUUGAAAAGAAUGUGUCCUCUGUUGUUGGAUGGAGUGUCCUUGAAAUGUUCAUUAGCCUUCUAGCUCCAUUCAGAAGAGCCUCCGAAGUAGAGACCAGAAAUCCUUCUAGUGGGCUGUGCUUUGAGCAGUACUGCUUGUUGACUGCUUUACUUGGAAGGAGAGAUCGACUGAGGUAAGGCUCUUACUAAUGCACGUGCUUUGCUAAUGGUUUGGCCAGAUGAUCAAAAAUGUGGAAGGGGUAAGAUUCAAGGAUUGGUGACAAGGAAGUUUAGAAUAACAGAGAUGUGGAUGGGCCUCCUAGAAUGACCAAAGAAUAUGAGAAUAUUUAUGUUUCAUGUGAACAUUCAUCAAGCUCCUAUUGGUAGUCAGGUAGACAGGUAGACAAGGUGGUCUACUUUGAGGAUGCUGAUUAAUCUCUUCCUCCAGUGACGCAGGGUUUGCUCAGUGGGCUCAUGGACAGAGUGGCCCUGAUGGCUCAGUGGAGGGCUUGGUAUAGGCUUAGCCACAUGGACUCACCAAGACUAACCUGGUUACAGCCGUUGUUGAAUGCCCAACAUUCUACAGCAGAAACCAACCCUGAGCUCCUGACUUGGUGCCAUACCGUGGGGGGACCAACCUGCUGCUUCAGGCCCGGGAAAGAAGUGGACAAGACUCUGCUCUCUUCAUGGAACCGAGUAUUCUAAGGACACAGCCAAGUCAGGAGACUACACCCCUAGUAUAAUAAGUCCUGUGGCUGUACUGAGAAGAGGUCCUGACUCAGAACUGGAGGACAUCAUGGAAGGCUUCCUGGAGGAAGUGCCAUCUAGGCUGAAACCUAAAGGAUGAGUAGAACUAACCAGAUGAAAAGCACUGGAUUUGACUCAUCCCUGCAUCCCCCGAGCACCUCGUGGGUGCCGUAAAGGCAGCUGGGUUGAUGAUGACUGAGUGAAGGAGCGCCUGAGUGGAUGAGCCACUGAGUGAAUGAACUGGAGUUCAUCUUCCACGUGGUCCUCAGCAUCCACUCUAGAAGCCAAAGCCAAGGACACAGCAACCCACCGAGUGCCUUGUCCUCACUCUCUCCAACUGGGGAGUGCCCCUGCGGUGUCAUCUCUCUUUACAGAAGAGAUGCCAUGAGCUACUUUCCUUUCCCCACCUCACCUAACUUCUCUGCUGUAGCCUAACAGUCCAGGACCUGGGGAUUCAGCCUGAGGGAUCUAAAGCCUUGGGACUUCUGGAUCUGCAAGUGGUCCCUGUUUUGGUAGCUAUUGACUGACGAGGGGCUCUUCGGUAAGUUCUGGGGUGGCAGUGGAGGUGAUGAUGGGAGGGUGUUACAGGGCUCCACAGGCUCUUACAGGGCUCGGGAGCUUAUUUAAGGGAACACCUUGAUUGUCCAUGUGUCGUGGGCCAGAGAAGAAAGGCAGCACUGUGGAUCUUCUGGGAGGAAAGGAGAGGCGUCGAUUUCUGACUCCAGUUUUCUAUGAUCAGCACAGACUCUGUCCCACCUCCUCCCUACAGAGCUUCUGGAUCCUGGAGGAUGGAGAAUAGGCUAAAUUGCACAGGCCAGCUCCAGUCCAUUGGCAGGGCUGCCUAGAACAUGGCUGUGAUGAUCCCAAAGCUCAAUAGCAGAGAACCCUGUGGGGUGCUAGGAGUGUCUGCCAGGGUGCCGCAGGGAAAGGGGAGCAUGUGUGUAGAUGUAGAAAGCAUCUCUGCCAUCCCCUCCCCUAAAGAAUAUAUAACAUGGCCAUGCAGAAAAACACUUGUGAAAGGAGCUGCUGCCCUCAGGACAGCGUGUCAUUGAAAUGGGGGCUGAGCAACCCGUCAGAAGAGUGGGGAGGAGGGACCAUCCUCCAGCCCCUUCCCAGCUCUCUUCUGGAGCCAUAAGCCACAACACUGUCUAUGAAAAAGCUGAGGCCUAGAGCAGAAGGAGUGCAAAAUCCCAGCUACUGCAGGCCUACGCCCAGUGGUUCUCAAAGUGUUGUCCUCAGUCUAGCAGCAUCAGUGUCACCUGAAAACUGGUUAGACAUCCAGGUUCUCAGUUGUUAUCCAGCUCUAGCAGAUGGGAAACGCUGGGGGCGGGACCAGCCAUCUGUGUUUAACAAGCCCCACAGGUGACUGCUGUAGCCUUGAGUGAGGACCUCGGCCAAAAAGAAGGCUCCUACCGUGGCUGUUUGCUGAUGGUCUUCGCAGAGCCUGCUGUCUUUGAGCUUCCUGAGAGAGGGACACUACCCUCGCUUAGCCUGGCAGUGUUGCCCAGGAGGAGGCAGUGGAGUUAAGAAGCCUGGGUCUGAGCUCCUCAGCUGUGCAGACAACUCCUACUUGUUCUUCAACGCUCAACUUUAAGUUCAGUCACCACCUGCAGAAGUCUUCUCCAAAACCUCCCCACCUGGCUGACUAAGGGGCUGGCUUUAUGCUCUUGCAGUACUCAUGCUUCCUACUGUCACAGUUCUGACCACACCGUGGGAAAACGUCUCUAACUAGAGACCUGUCUUGCCUCUUGUGCCUGUAGUACGGGAUGGGUGCCCAGUGUGUGUUGAUUGUAUGAAUCAAUCUCUGUGACUCCAGAGUUCCUUUCUUCAGGAGAUUAGACAUCACCCCUGCAAUCAACAAUGCAAGCCACUGCUGUUUCCUCCAUCCUGAGCAUGAGGAACCUAUCCAGUUUCUCUCUCAGAUGCCAGGGCCAUGAGGCAAGUCCAGCCUUGGCCUAGAACCAAAGAUGGAAACAAAAAGGGGCCAGACUGUGUUGCCUUCUUGAGCCUGGUCUGACUCCUGAGUGGAAGUCUGAUUCCAGGUACAUGAGAUAAGCACUAAUACCUCCAGUUUGCAGAUUAAGAGACUGAGGUCCUGAAGAGGUUAAAGAACUUGGCUCAAGUCACAUAGCUGGUGAGCAGCAAGAUACAAGAAUCAACCCAAGUCCAGGGGGCUGUGUGCCGUUUACACUUCACAUCUGUGCUGCCAGGGCUGUAGCUAUAAAAGCUUGAAAACCAUUACUCUGAGAAUCUCUCUGUUGGGAAAAUGAGUCCCUUCAACUCUAGUUGUUGCCACUGGGAUGCUAACAGAAAGCAAAGUCUCAGAGGAAAGAUGUGGCAUUCCUGAGUGUCUUCCAUGUACCAGGACUUCUAUUUGCUAGCCACUUUAUGUUCCUCAUCCCAUCCUUCUGUGAGGGACAUACUUUUCAGAUGAGAAACGUAAGCUCCGCGAAGCUAAGGGGCCGGACUGAGGUCCCACAGCGAGAGUGUGGAGGAGCCAGGAUCCGAACCCCAUCGCCAGCCCUUGCCAGUUCCAUGAUUCCGGUGCCAGCGCUCGCCUGACCUCCAGGGCUGUCAUGGUGGGAAGGGACUGGAGGGCAUCUGCUGGGCAAAGGAAAGAGACAAACAUCAUCCCAGAGCCUGUCUUCCCUGGGCAAUACCCGGGCCACUCCAGACAUGGCGUCUUUAGCCCUUCCUUGGUCACUGGCCCCCAGGUGAAGAGAGCAUUUUUCUCUGACUCAAGUUCUUGCCUCUGGAUUUGCCAAGCUCCUAUGACAGUCUUCGCCCUUCUGAAGCUCUCUCAGGCUCCCCUUCCAGAAAUCCCGCAGGUUCCACCGACCUCUCUGAGAGCACAGGCGAGUGGUUGAACGGUGGGCUUUAGAGACGGCGCGGCACCAGAGUCCUGUACUGGCUGUGUGAUCCUGAACCUCCUCACUGAGAUUCUCAUCUGCAAGAUGGAGA